GGACCCGCACAAGCGGUGGAGCAUGUGGUUUAAUUCGAAGCAACGCGAAGAACCUUACCAAAUCUUGACAUCCUCUUGAUCGUCUCUUAAUCGAGACUUUCCUUCGGGACAAGAGUGACAGGUGGUGCAUGGUUGUCGUCAGCUCGUGUCGUGAGAUGUUGGGUUAAGUCCCGCAACGAGCGCAACCCUUAUCUUUAGUAGCCAGCAGUUAGAUGGGCACUCUAGAGAGACUGCCGGGGAUAACCCGGAGGAAGGCGGGGAUGACGUCAAAUCAUCAUGCCCCUUAUGAUUUGGGCUACACACGUGCUACAAUGGCGUAAACAAAGGGAAGCAACCCUGCGAAGGUGAGCAAAUCCCAUAAAUAACGUCUCAGUUCGGAUUGUAGUCUGCAACUCGACUACAUGAAGCUGGAAUCGCUAGUAAUCGCAGAUCAGAAUGCUGCGGUGAAUACGUUCCCGGGUCUU
Molecule: ribosomal RNA, 464 nt
Filed under: uncultured bacterium
Lineage: Bacteria
Description: bacterial SSU rRNA
Rfam family: Bacterial small subunit ribosomal RNA
Source: RNAcentral